RNAcentral lists this long non-coding RNA (384 nucleotides) under Setaria italica (foxtail millet). RNAcentral describes it as "long non-coding RNA (SITA_LNC003752)". The record is from RNAcentral. Lineage: Eukaryota; Viridiplantae; Streptophyta; Magnoliopsida; Poales; Poaceae.
GCGUGAAGAUGCUGCAGUUGACGAUGAGCACGUCGAUCUCCUCGGGCUUGACCGUGGUCCUGGCGAACACGUCGUCGACGGCGGAGAAGAUGACCAGCUCGGUCUCGUCGCGGGAGGCCUCGAGGCUGCGGUUGGGCGGCAUGUAGUGGUACGCCUCCGGCACGCACGUCUCCUCGCCGAGCCCGGAGCGCUCGAGCAGCCGGAUGGCGAAGCUGACGCUUUCGUCGUCGAUUAGGUACGGCAUCAGGUUGGCGUGCUCCAGGCACGUGGCGAACGGCGCCCGGAACCACGGCUUGGGCCGGAAGCAGCCGUACUCGACGAGGUACACGUCCUUGGGCCGGCCCAUGCGCCUCAGCUUGGCGGCGGCGGCGGCCGCGAGCAGCG